This 268-nucleotide long non-coding RNA is filed under the name Gossypium raimondii (Peruvian cotton). RNAcentral describes it as "long non-coding RNA (GRAI_LNC007696)". The record is from RNAcentral. Lineage: Eukaryota; Viridiplantae; Streptophyta; Magnoliopsida; Malvales; Malvaceae.
AGUAUCAUAACUUUACCGAUAAUCUACAAUACUUAUAGCACUGGAACAGCAAAAGCAGUGAAAAGAAGAUCAGCGCAGGGAGUGAUCGAACAGAGGGAUGACAAUCGGCUAAACCUGAAGGGAGAUAGUUCUCAGUCAAAAGGAAAACAAAAUAAUAAAAGGUAAAAAUAAAAAUAGAAAGGAAGAGAAGAAUAUUCAGUCAAAGAAAAAGAGGAGGAGAGGAAAGAGAUUUGGCCAAGAGAAAGAUGGAAAGAGAAAAGAAAAAAGG